Molecule: non-coding RNA, 859 nt
Organism: Nicotiana tabacum (common tobacco)
Lineage: Eukaryota; Viridiplantae; Streptophyta; Magnoliopsida; Solanales; Solanaceae
Source: RefSeq, a predicted model, not a curated record
UUGCUGACCUUGUUUUGCUCCCUUUUUGUCUUAAAUUUAAAUGGAGUGACAAAGAUUCUUACCUUUCCCAAAUUCAUCUCUCCCGUAAAAGAGAAAACCCUCCCCUGCUGCUCACCGAUAACCACUUCAUCUUCAGUCCUUCACUGUAACUAAAGAAGAGAGAAUAUGGAUAUGAUCAAAGUUGGCCCAGCGGGAGGAAAUUGUGGAACCAUUUGGGAUGAAAAGGGACGAGACCAAGUUGGUGGGAUUAUUGUUUCCUACAGCAAAGACAAAGUUCUGUCACUUCAGUUCUUUUUCCAUGAAAAUGGCAACUUAGUUCAGUCAAACAAGCAUGGUGUUGAUCAAUGUCAAAACUUUUAUGCAGUUUUCUUUGAUUAUCCAUCAGAGUUUCUUACUUCCUUAAGUGGUUCCUACAUAUACACGGGGUACGCUACAGUUUUGGAAACUAUAAAAUUUUGCACCAACAAGGGUUCCUAUGGACCAUUUGGGCGUACCCUGCCUUCAAAUGGUGCCAUGAACUUCAACUUUGAGAUAGGAAAUCAUCGUUUUUUUGGUGGUUUUCAUGGCCACAACAAUAGCUGUGGCGUUGAGAGUAUUGGGAUAUAUGUGAAGCCCAUCAUACCCUCCAUGAAAAAAUUGAGAAUCCAGAAGUGAAGGUUGAAAAGGGAAGAAGAUUAACUCAUGAUAUAAACUCACCUUCUGGUAAUUAAUUUCCAACUGAAAUAAUUAGUCUUAUUUAAUUACUCUCUGCUUAUUUGGUUUUACCUUUGCACUAUUGAUCUACUGAUUGGUGCAUGGUUAUUAUGUAAGGAUUAUCUUUUAAGUAUUUUAUUAAAAAAGUUAAGAUGGUAAAGCCCCA